AUACUUUUUUACUGGGUACUGAUGACGCAUUUAUAUAAUUGGGUAAAAUCUGUGAUAAUUCAGAAUAGUCGAAGAACAUAAACCAAAUAUUUUAAGAAAGAGGCAUAUACAUUAUUUUGUCAGUACCAAUAGAAGUUUCAAGAUGUUUAGUUUAGUUAAGUUACUUGCUUUGUUUCUGUCAGCCCUGGCAUUUUUGUCUCAAUUAUCAGCUUUUCCAAACGACUACGCUCCAAACCAUGCCGGUCCCAUCCAAUUCGGAAGCCAACAUUUAGGACCUCCUAGAUCUUCGCACUUGGGACCUCCAAGAGGAGGACAACAUGUAGAAUCGCAAGCAAAAGCUGAGGCCGUUUAUUAUUAGUAAUAUUUUCUAUUCUUGUAAAUAAAAUUAUUUAGGUGAAAUUAA
Molecule: long non-coding RNA, 403 nt
Organism: Anthonomus grandis grandis
Lineage: Eukaryota; Metazoa; Arthropoda; Insecta; Coleoptera; Curculionidae
Exons: 3
Source: RefSeq, a predicted model, not a curated record